CCUACGGGAGGCUGCAGUGAGGAAUAUUGGUCAAUGGACACAAGUCUGAACCAGCCAUGCCGCGUGCAGGAUGACGGCUCUAUGAGUUGUAAACUGCUUUUGUACGAGGGUAAUAUCAGAUACGUGUAUCUGCUUGAAAGUAUCGUACGAAUAAGGAUCGGCUAACUCCGUGCCAGCAGCCGCGGUAAUACGGAGGAUCCAAGCGUUAUCCGGAUUUAUUGGGUUUAAAGGGUGCGUAGGCGGUUUUAUAAGUUAGAGGUGAAAUGUCCGAGCUUAACUCGGGAACUGCCUCUAAUACUGUUGAUCUAGAGAGUAGAUGCGGUAGGCGGAAUGUAUGGUGUAGCGGUGAAAUGCUUAGAGAUCAUACAGAACACCGAUUGCGAAGGCAGCUUACCAAUCUAUAUCUGACGUUGAGGCACGAAAGCGUGGGGAGCAAACAGGAUUAGAUACCCCUGUAGUC
RNAcentral lists this ribosomal RNA (460 nucleotides) under uncultured bacterium. RNAcentral's name for it is "partial 16S ribosomal RNA". It matches the Rfam family "Bacterial small subunit ribosomal RNA", at positions 338 to 795 of the family's 1533-position model. The record is from RNAcentral.